UCUCCCUACUCCAAUCAGUGAAACUGAUCUCUCCGUGAAGAAGCGGGGAUACAAAUAUAAGACGAGAAGACCCCAUGGAGCUUUAAACCCAACGACACCCAUUUUCUUUAUACCCUAGUAUUCAUUUGGCUAUGUUUGAUUGGUUUUAGGUUGGGGUGACCACGGAGCAUAAAAUAACCUCCACGAAGAAGAGACUAAUAAUCUUUAUCAAAGAAGUACACUUCUAAGAAUUAACAAAUUAAUUUCCAAUGAUCCGAUAUUCGAUCAACGAACCAAGUUACCCUGGGGAUAACAGCGCAAUCCACCUCAAGAGCUCCUAUCGACAGGUGGGUUUACGACCUCGAUGUUGGAUCAGGAUAUCCCAGUGGUGUAGCAGCUACUAAAGGUUCGUUUGUUCAACGAUUA
RNAcentral lists this ribosomal RNA (405 nucleotides) under Boophis andohahela. RNAcentral's name for it is "partial 16S ribosomal RNA". It matches the Rfam family "Bacterial large subunit ribosomal RNA", at positions 2019 to 2590 of the family's 2925-position model. The record is from RNAcentral. Lineage: Eukaryota; Metazoa; Chordata; Amphibia; Anura; Mantellidae.